AGAGUUUGAUCAUGGCUCAGGAUGAACGCUGGCGGCGUGCCUAACACAUGCAAGUCGAGCGAUCUCUUCGGAAGAGAGCGGCGGACGGGUGAGUAACGCGUGGGUAACCUGCCUCAUACACAUGGAUAACAUACCGAAAGGUAUGCUAAUACAAGAUGAUAUAAGAGAUUUGCAUGGAUUUCUUAUCAAAGCUUCGGCGGUAUGAGAUGGACCCGCGUCUGAUUAGCUAGUUGGUAAGGUAACGGCUUACCAAGGCGACGAUCAGUAGCCGACCUGAGAGGGUGAUCGGCCACAUUGGAACUGAGACACGGUCCAAACUCCUACGGGAGGCAGCAGUGGGGAAUAUUGCACAAUGGGCGAAAGCCUGAUGCAGCAACGCCGCGUGAGCGAUGAAGGCCUUCGGAUCGUAAAGCUCUGUCCUCAAGGAAGAUAAUGACGGUACUUGAGGAGGAAGCCCCGGCUAACUACGUGCCAGCAGCCGCGGUAAUACGUAGGGGGCUAGCGUUAUCCGGAUUUACUGGGCGUAAAGGGUGCGUAGGUGGUUUCUUAAGUCAGGAGUGAAAGGCUACGGCUCAACCGUAGUAAGCUCUUGAAACUGGGAAACUUGAGUGCAGGAGAGGAAAGUGGAAUUCCUAGUGUAGCGGUGACAUGCGUAGAUAUUAGGAGGAACACCAGUAGCGAAGGCGGCUUUCUGGACCGUAACUGACACUGAGGCACGAAAGCGUGGGGAGCAAACAGGAUUAGAUACCCUGGUAGUCCACGCCGUAAACGAUGAGUACUAGGUGUCGGGGGUUACCCCCCUCGGUGCCGCAGCUAACGCAUUAAGUACUCCGCCUGGGGAGUACGCUCGCAAGAGUGAAACUCAAAGGAAUUGACGG
RNAcentral lists this ribosomal RNA (878 nucleotides) under uncultured bacterium. Its description in RNAcentral is "bacterial SSU rRNA". It matches the Rfam family "Bacterial small subunit ribosomal RNA", at positions 8 to 916 of the family's 1533-position model. The record is from RNAcentral.